This 844-nucleotide ribosomal RNA is filed under the name Psychrobacter cibarius. RNAcentral's name for it is "bacterial SSU rRNA". It matches the Rfam family "Bacterial small subunit ribosomal RNA", at positions 464 to 1469 of the family's 1533-position model. Lineage: Bacteria; Pseudomonadati; Pseudomonadota; Gammaproteobacteria; Moraxellales; Moraxellaceae. The record is from RNAcentral.
GGACGAUGACAUUAGCUGCAGAAUAAGCACCGGGCUAACUCUGUGCCAGCAGCCGCGGUAAUACAGAGGGUGCAAGCGUUAAUCGGAAUUACUGGGCGUAAAGGGAGCGUAGGUGGCUCUAUAAGUCAGAUGUGAAAUCCCCGGGCUUAACCUGGGAACUGCAUCUGAAACUGUAGAGCUAGAGUAUGUGAGAGGAAGGUAUUCCCUUGAGGACUUAGUGACGCAGCUAACGCAAUAAGUAGACCGCCUGGGGAGUACGGCCGCAAGGUUAAAACUCAAAUGAAUUGACGGGGGCCCGCACAAGCGGUGGAGCAUGUGGUUUAAUUCGAUGCAACGCGAAGAACCUUACCUGGUCUUGACAUAUCUAGAAUCCUGCAGAGAUGCGGGAGUGCCUUCGGGAAUUAGAAUACAGGUGCUGCAUGGCUGUCGUCAGCUCGUGUCGUGAGAUGUUGGGUUAAGUCCCGCAACGAGCGCAACCCUUGUCCUUAGUUACCAGCGGGUUAAGCCGGGAACUCUAAGGAUACUGCCAGUGACAAACUGGAGGAAGGCGGGGACGACGUCAAGUCAUCAUGGCCCUUACGACCAGGGCUACACACGUGCUACAAUGGUAGGUACAGAGGGCAGCUACACAGCGAUGUGAUGCGAAUCUCAAAAAGCCUAUCGUAGUCCAGAUUGGAGUCUGCAACUCGACUCCAUGAAGUAGGAAUCGCUAGUAAUCGCGGAUCAGAAUGCCGCGGUGAAUACGUUCCCGGGCCUUGUACACACCGCCCGUCACACCAUGGGAGUUGAUUGCACCAGAAGUGGAUAGCUUAACCUUCGGGGGAGCGUCACCAACGGGGGGGGU